GCAGAACGCGAAGAACCUUACCAAGGCUUGACAUAUACGAGAACGCUGCAGAAAUGUAGAACUCUUUGGACACUCGUAAACAGGUGGUGCAUGGUUGUCGUCAGCUCGUGUCGUGAGAUGUUGGGCUAAGUCCCGCAACGAGCGCAACCCUCGUUCUAUGUUGCCAGCACGUAAUGGUGGGAACUCAUGGGAUACUGCCGGGGUCAACUCGGAGGAAGGUGGGGAUGACGUCAAAUCAUCAUGCCCCUUAUGUCUUGGGCUUCACGCAUGCUACAAUGGCCGGUACAAAGGGCUGCAAUACCGUAAGGUGGAGCGAAUCCCAAAAAGCCGGUCCCAGUUCGGAUUGAGGUCUGCAACUCGACCUCAUGAAGUCGGAAUCGCUAGUAAUCGCAAAUCAGCAUGUUGCGGUGAAUACGUUCCCGGGUCUUGUACACACCG
Molecule: ribosomal RNA, 438 nt
Filed under: uncultured bacterium
Lineage: Bacteria
Description: bacterial SSU rRNA
Rfam family: Bacterial small subunit ribosomal RNA
Source: RNAcentral